GGGCCCGCACAAGCGGUGGAGCAUGUGGUUUAAUUCGAUGAUACGCGAGGAACCUUACCAGGGCUUAAAUGUAAGUUGCAUUAGUUAGAGAUAGCUAUUUCUUCGGACCACUUACAAGGUGCUGCAUGGUUGUCGUCAGCUCGUGCCGUGAGGUGUCAGGUUAAGUCCUAUAACGAGCGCAACCCCUGUUGUUAGUUGCCAGCGAGUCAUGUCGGGAACUCUAACAAGACUGCCGGUGCAAACCGUGAGGAAGGUGGGGAUGACGUCAAAUCAUCACGGCCCUUACGUCCUGGCUACACACGUGCUACAAUGGUCGGUACAGAGAGCAGCCACUACGCGAGUAGGAG
This 347-nucleotide ribosomal RNA is filed under the name uncultured bacterium. RNAcentral's name for it is "bacterial SSU rRNA". It matches the Rfam family "Bacterial small subunit ribosomal RNA", at positions 917 to 1267 of the family's 1533-position model. The record is from RNAcentral.